RNAcentral lists this ribosomal RNA (253 nucleotides) under uncultured bacterium. Its description in RNAcentral is "partial 16S ribosomal RNA". It matches the Rfam family "Bacterial small subunit ribosomal RNA", at positions 524 to 776 of the family's 1533-position model. The record is from RNAcentral.
UACGUAGGGGGCAAGCGUUGUCCGGAAUCAUUGGGCGUAAAGAGCGUGUAGGCGGCCAGAAAAGUCCGCUGUGAAAACUCGAGGCUCAACUUCGGGCUGUCGGUGGAAACUUUCUGGCUAGAGUCCGGAAGAGGAGAAUGGAAUUCCUGGUGUAGCGGUGAAAUGCGCAGAUAUCAGGAAGAACACCCGUGGCGAAGGCGGUUCUCUGGGACGGUACUGACGCUGAGACGCGAAAGCGUGGGGAGCAAACAGG